RNAcentral lists this long non-coding RNA (229 nucleotides) under Homo sapiens (human). RNAcentral describes it as "HSALNT0297653". Lineage: Eukaryota; Metazoa; Chordata; Mammalia; Primates; Hominidae. The record is from RNAcentral.
GCGAGCUGUGCGUCUGACAGCGCAGGUCCAGCAGCGUGGGCCCCAGGAAGGCGAUGCACAGGCCGAAGCUGAAGAAGACGCUCCAGUAGGGUCUGGCUCUGUAACCCAGGCUUGAAUGCAGUGGCAUGAUGGGUGCAAUCUUGUUACCUGUUACUGGUCUCUUCAGGUUUUCUUUUUGGCUCAAUCUUGAGAUGGAGGCUCGUUUUGUUGCCCAGGCUGGAGUGCAGUG